UGGAAAAUGUACUUUCAUCUAUAAUAGAGUUUCAAAAAAACCAAAUGUCAGUUUAAGUAGGAACUCCAGGUACAUCGGCGAACCGCUUUUCCUGCACACAAUGCUGC
This is a non-coding RNA of Caenorhabditis elegans, 107 nucleotides long. The record is from Ensembl. Lineage: Eukaryota; Metazoa; Nematoda; Chromadorea; Rhabditida; Rhabditidae.